RNAcentral lists this ribosomal RNA (253 nucleotides) under uncultured bacterium. RNAcentral's name for it is "partial 16S ribosomal RNA". It matches the Rfam family "Bacterial small subunit ribosomal RNA", at positions 524 to 776 of the family's 1533-position model. The record is from RNAcentral.
UACGUAGGGGGCAAGCGUUGUUCGGAAUUACUGGGCAUAAAGGGUGCGUAGGUGGUUUGGUAAGUCAGUGGUGAAAUCGUCCGGCCCAACCGGACACGUGCCAAUGAUACUGCCGAACUCGAGUGCGUGAGGGGUGGGGGGAACGAGCAGUGUAGCGGUGAAAUGCGUAGAUAUUGCUCGGAAGGCCAAAGCCGAAGGGACCCCACUGGUACGUAACUGACACUGAGGCACGAAAGCGUGGGGAGCAAACAGG